CCUACGGGAGGCAGCAGUGGGGAAUAUUGCGCAAUGGGCGAAAGCCUGACGCAGCGACGCCGCGUGAGGGAUGAAGGUCUUCGGAUCGUAAACCUCCGUCAGCAGGGAAGAACGGUCACUGUGCUAAUCAGCAUUGCAUUGACGGUACCUGCAAAGGUAGCACCGGCCAACUCCGUGCCAGCAGCCGCGGUAAUACGGAGGGUGCGAGCGUUAAUCGGAAUUACUGGGCGUAAAGCGCUCGUAGGCGGUAUGUCAAGUCAAGGGUGAAAUCCCCGCGCUCAACGUGGGAACUGCCUUUGAAACUGGCAAACUGGAGUGUGUGAGAGGAUAGUGGAAUUCCAGGUGUAGGAGUGAAAUGCGUAGAUAUCUGGAGGAACAUCAGUGGCGAAGGCGACUAACUGGGACAUAACUGACGCUGAGGAGCGAAAGCGUGGGUAGCAAACAGGAUUAGAUACCCUAGUAGUC
This 465-nucleotide ribosomal RNA is filed under the name uncultured bacterium. RNAcentral describes it as "partial 16S ribosomal RNA". It matches the Rfam family "Bacterial small subunit ribosomal RNA", at positions 338 to 795 of the family's 1533-position model. The record is from RNAcentral.